RNAcentral lists this transfer RNA (70 nucleotides) under Laemanctus longipes. Its description in RNAcentral is "tRNA-Gln". It matches the Rfam family "tRNA". Rfam says of the family: Transfer RNA (tRNA) molecules are approximately 80 nucleotides in length. Their secondary structure includes four short double-helical elements and three loops (D, anti-codon, and T loops). Lineage: Eukaryota; Metazoa; Chordata; Lepidosauria; Squamata; Corytophanidae. The record is from RNAcentral.
UAUAAGAUAGUAUAAUGGAGUACUAAAGAUUUUGAGUCUUUUGGUGCAGGUUCAAGUCCUGUUCUUUUAG